AGAGUUUGAUCAUGGCUCAGAUUGAACGCUGGCGGCAUGCUUUACACAUGCAAGUCGAGCGGCAGCGCGGGGGCAACCCUGGCGGCGAGCGGCGAACGGGUGAGUAAUACAUCGGAACGUGUCCCGUAGUGGGGGAUAGCCCGGCGAAAGCCGGAUUAAUACCGCAUAUGCUCUACGGAGGAAAGCGGGGGAUUCGCAAGACCUCGCGCUAUGGGAGCGGCCGAUGUCCGAUUAGCUUGUUGGUGAGGUAAAGGCUCACCAAGGCGACGAUCGGUAGCUGGUCUGAGAGGAUGAUCAGCCACACUGGGACUGAGACACGGCCCAGACUCCUACGGGAGGCAGCAGUGGGGAAUUUUGGACAAUGGGGGCAACCCUGAUCCAGCCAUGCCGCGUGAGUGAAGAAGGCCUUCGGGUUGUAAAGCUCUUUUGGCCGGAAAGAAAAGAUCUUGUCUAAUAAACGAGGUUCUUGACGGUACCGGCAGAAUAAGCACCGGCUAACUACGUGCCAGCAGCCGCGGUAAUACGUAGGGUGCGAGCGUUAAUCGGAAUUACUGGGCGUAAAGAGUGCGUAGGCGGUUCUUUGUGUCCGCUGUGAAAUCCCCGGGCUUAACCUGGGAAUGGCAGUGGAAACUAGAGGACUUGAAUCCGGCAGAGGGGGGUGGAAUGCCACGUGUAGCAGUGAAAUGCGUAGAUAUGUGGCGGAACACCGAUGGCGAAGGCACCCCCUGGGCUGAGAUUGACGCUCAGGCACGAAAGCGUGGGGAGCAAACAGGAUUAGAUACCCUAGUAGUCC
Molecule: ribosomal RNA, 793 nt
Filed under: uncultured bacterium
Lineage: Bacteria
Description: bacterial SSU rRNA
Rfam family: Bacterial small subunit ribosomal RNA
Source: RNAcentral